This 22-nucleotide microRNA is filed under the name Sus scrofa (pig). RNAcentral's name for it is "ssc-miR-7136-3p". The record is from miRBase by way of RNAcentral. Lineage: Eukaryota; Metazoa; Chordata; Mammalia; Artiodactyla; Suidae.
UCUCAGUGUUUGAACCAGAAGC